AUCGCUUCUCAGCCUUUUGGCUAAGAUCAACUGUAAAAAAAAGCACAUGAAAUACAUUUGUACUUAAAUUUAGGAACACAAUUUCUGAAAUGGUCCUGAAACCAUGUCUUCCAUUUUAUACUAUGUAAUAACAUGAAGUAAU
RNAcentral lists this small nuclear RNA (142 nucleotides) under Mus musculus (house mouse). Its description in RNAcentral is "U2 spliceosomal RNA". It matches the Rfam family "U2 spliceosomal RNA". Rfam says of the family: U2 is a small nuclear RNA (snRNA) component of the spliceosome (involved in pre-mRNA splicing). Complementary binding between U2 snRNA (in an area lying towards the 5' end but 3' to hairpin I) and the branchpoint sequence (BPS) of the intron results the bulging out of an unpaired adenosine, on the BPS, which initiates a nucleophilic attack at the intronic 5' splice site, thus starting the first of two transesterification reactions that mediate splicing. The record is from Rfam by way of RNAcentral. Lineage: Eukaryota; Metazoa; Chordata; Mammalia; Rodentia; Muridae.